UACGUAGGGCCCAAGCGUUGUUCGGAUUUACUGGGCGUAAAGGGCGCGUAGGCGGCAAUUCAAGUCAGCUGUGAAAUCUCCGGGCUUAACUCGGACGGUCAGCUGAUACUGCUUUGCUAGAGUGCAGAAGGGGCAAUCGGAAUUCUUGGUGUAGCGGUGAAAUGCGUAGAUAUCAAGAGGAACACCUGAGGUGAAGACGGGUUGCUGGGCUGACACUGACGCUGAGGCGCGAAAGCUAGGGUAGCAAACGGG
This 252-nucleotide ribosomal RNA is filed under the name uncultured bacterium. RNAcentral describes it as "partial 16S ribosomal RNA". It matches the Rfam family "Bacterial small subunit ribosomal RNA", at positions 524 to 776 of the family's 1533-position model. The record is from RNAcentral.